This is an RNA transcript of Bombyx mori (domestic silkworm), 2026 nucleotides long. RefSeq lists it as uncharacterized. The transcript has 3 exons. Lineage: Eukaryota; Metazoa; Arthropoda; Insecta; Lepidoptera; Bombycidae. The record is from RefSeq and is a predicted model, not a curated record.
UAUUCCUCCUUCUAGUGUUAGAGCUGCAGUCGUUUACUAACAGUUUUAUUGGACCAGCUGGAUCAAUAUUCCACGAAACCACCACCACUUGAUCACAAAACUUUUAAAUUAUUUGAAACGUCGGAAAAAGUGGAGGAGUGCUCUGAGGAAUUGUUUCAGAUGAUCCCAUCAUCACGCUAUUACCAUCGCACCACCCGCCACUGGAGUAGAGUUCAUCUAUACUACCUAGAGCCCCUGUGUUCGUCCACAGUGCGUUUCCAGAGAUCUUUUUGCCACGUACCAUCCGGCUUUGGAAUGAGCUCCCCACCACGGUGCUUCCCAAGCGCUGUGACAUGUCCUUCUUCAAACGCGGCUUUUGGAGAGUACUUUACGGUGGGCAGAGGCUUGUCUCUGCUCCUGGCAUUGCCGAAGUCCAUGAGCGACGGUAACCACUCAAUAUCAGGUCGGCAAUAUGCUCGUACCAUUGCGUACCAGGUCAAUAAAAUAAUAAUAAUAAAAUAAUGUUACCCCUGGAAGGCGAUGCUCGACUUCUGCGAGUCCACCAUCUCGCAGAAGGAGGCGGCGGAGCGAGAGAGGGAGAGCUCUUCCCUUUCCGCACCGAUUCGUCGCCGUCGAGCCGGGGGCCGGAGGCGGGAAUACGCCCGUACGUCCCGGCCCCUGUAGGUGGCGGCCUCCCCCCGGUGAAGGUCAAGGGGCGACCUGAGGGGGUGAGGCCGCGCGGCGCGCUACCAGCACUCUAGCGCGCUGCCGUGGAGUGAAUAGAGCGACCGGUCGACGGUGUAUCGCGUCCCGACCAGGCAGGCUGGUUCUGGUCCAGCGGGGUAUUCCGGGACACCAGCGGCACCGUCUGGGCGGCCCGACGGGCUGCCGUACCGAGACGGCCGACGUUUCAGAACCUUCGAUUCGCCUCGAAGGCUCCGUCGGCCGGGCGUCCUUGGGGUGAGCCGCGCCGUCUGGUUGUAGUGUUGACCGCGGUAGCCCCCCUACCUCAUCCGGGUUCUGACCUCGGAGGGGAUCGGACGUCGGGUGUAAGAGUGCAGAGGAGUCGUUUAGUGGGUGGGCUCUAAAAUCCUUGGGCCCGCGGUCUGCUCACAACACCAUGCAGAUCGUUGAGUCUCACAUACCCCGCGCGCCCCUUUUGCGCGGGGACCUCGUAGGAGGUUCGGCCCUCUACCCGAAAAAAAAAAACAAAAAAAAAAAAGGUAAAAGUAACGCCAUCUAUCGCCGAAUGGUCGAACGAAUAUCGAAGGAUCUAGUAAGAUCUACAACGCUCGAGAAGUACGACGCCAUCUGCUGUCAGAUUGCGGAAAUACAAUACUCGACUUAUAUGGAAUAUUCUCGAUAAUUCUAGGGAUGUGGUAUCGGCUAUAAAAGCGUUGCAGAGAUGGCACGCAGUUACUCAGUAAUCGGUACUACUCGAAGCGAAACAGCGAACGGAUCACCUGAAGCGAAGUAGAAGAAGCGAAUUUAAAAUUUUAAGAACACACACGGCGAGCUCGCGAAUUAUCCUUCACUGAAAAUUAAUUCUGACGUGGCCGAUAAAAGCGAUUCAAUAUUUUUUGUUGUACCAAAGGAACCUGGGUUUGACUCGCAUCUCGUCAUUAAUGAUAUCAUAAAUGCGAAUAGACACGGUCUUAGUCAUGAAGUCGAUCAUCCGCAGAACGUACCUAAUUAUUUUACAGACGAUAACGUUAAACACAACACCGAAUCUGCAAAUGACGAUGCUGCAUAUAUACUUUAUCAUCUUCUUAGGAAUACCAACAACAACUACCAUUCCGAUUUCAAAGAGGCGAAAGACAGCCUUCGUUCUGCUCUCAGAGCCCAAUGCGAGAAAGCAAAACGCUGCAUCCUACAAUGUCAAAAGAAUCAGAUAGAUUGCCCUGUUAUCUGCAAAGAAAGUUACGACGAAUUCAACAUUUGCGCAUCGUAGAAGCCAAAAAGAUGCAAAAAAACGAAAUGCGGAAGGACUUUGCCCCCAAUUGGUUGUAAACGUAUUUGAAUUUUCGAAUUAAACGAAUAAUCCGUU